This 518-nucleotide ribosomal RNA is filed under the name uncultured bacterium. Its description in RNAcentral is "bacterial SSU rRNA". It matches the Rfam family "Bacterial small subunit ribosomal RNA", at positions 8 to 518 of the family's 1533-position model. The record is from RNAcentral.
AGAGUUGAUCCUGGCUCAGGAUGAACGCUAGCGACAGGCUUAACACAUGCAAGUCGAGGGGCAGCAUAAAAGUAGCAAUACUUGGUCGGCGACCGGCGCACGGGUGAGUAACGCGUAUGCAACCUACCUAUCAGAGGGGAAUAACCCGGCGAAAGUCGGACUAAUACCGCAUAAAACAGGGGCACCGCAUGGUGAUAUUUGUUAAAGAAAUUCGCUGAUAGAUGGGCAUGCGUUCCAUUAGGUAGUUGGUGAGGUAACGGCUCACCAAGCCGACGAUGGAUAGGGGAACUGAGAGGUUGGUCCCCCACACUGGUACUGAGACACGGACCAGACUCCUACGGGAGGCAGCAGUGAGGAAUAUUGGUCAAUGGGCGGGAGCCUGAACCAGCCAAGUCGCCGUGAAGGAAGAAGGAUCUAUGGUUCGUAAACUUCUUUUGCAGGGGAAUAAAGUGCAGGACGUGUCCUGUUUUGUAUGUACCCUGAGAAUAAGGAUCGGCUAACUCCGUGCCAGCCGCCGC